GGGUUGUGAGGUUAAGCGAAUAAGCGUACACGGUGGAUGCCUAGGCAAUCAGAGGCGAUGAAGGACGUGCUAAUCUGCGAAAAGCGUCGGUAAGGUGAUAUGAACCGUUAUACCCGACGAUAUCCGAAUGGGGAAACCCAGUAUCCAAUGGAUACUAUCAUUAACUGAAUCCAUAGGUUAAUGAGGCGAACCGGGAGAACUGAAACAUCUCAGUACCCCGAGGAAAAGAAAUCAACCGAGAUUCCCCUAGUAGCGGCGAGCGAACGGGGAGCAGCCCAGAGUCUUAAUCAAUAGCGGUGUCAGGAGAACGGUCUGGAAAGUCCGGCAGUAAAGGGUGAUAGCCCCGUAUCUGAAGAUGCUGUUGUUGUGAACUCGACGAGUAGGGCGGGACACGUGUUAUCCUGUCUGAAUAUGGGGGGACCAUCCUCCAAGGCUAAAUACUCCUGAUUGACCGAUAGUGAACCAGUACCGUGAGGGAAAGGCGAAAAGAACCCCGGCGAGGGGAGUGAAAAAGAACCUGAAACCGUGUACGUACAAGCAGUAGGAGCCUCUUUAUGGGGUGACUGCGUACCUUUUGUAUAAUGGGUCAGCGACUUAUAUUCUGUAGCAAGGUUAACCGCAUAGGGGAGCCGUAGGGAAACCGAGUCUUAACUGGGCGAAUGAGUUGCAGGGUAUAGACCCGAAACCCGGUGAUCUAUCCAUGGGCAGGUUGAAGGUUGGGUAACACUAACUGGAGGACCGAACCGACUAAUGUUGAAAAAUUAGCGGAUGACUUGUGGAUGGGGGUGAAAGGCCAAUCAAACCGGGAGAUAGCUGGUUCUCCCCGAAAGCUAUUUAGGUAGCGCCUCGUGAACUCAUCUUCGGGGGUAGAGCACUGUUUCGACUAGGGGGUCAUCCCGACUUACCAACUCGAUGCAAACUGCGAAUACCGAAGAAUGUUAUCACGGGAGACACACGGCGGGUGCUAACGUCCGUCGUGAAGAGGAAAACAACCCAGACCGCCAGCUAAGGUCCCAAAGUCAUGGUUAAGUGGGAAACGAAGUGGGAAGGCUCAGACAGCCAGGAUGUUGGCUUAGAAGCAGCCAUCAUUUAAAGAAAGCGUAAUAGCUCACUGGUCGAGUCGGCCCGCGCGGAAGAUGUAACGGGGCUAAACCAUGUACCGAAGCUGCGGCAGCGACACAAAGUGUUGUUGGGUAGGGGAGCGUUCUGUAAGCCUGCGAAGGUGUGCUGUGAGGUAUGCUGGAGGUAUCAGAAGUGCGAAUGCUGACAUAAGUAACGAUAAUGCGGGUGAAAAACCCGCACGCCGGAAGACCAAGGGUUCCUGUCCAACGUUAAUCGGGGCAGGGUGAGUCGACCCCUAAGGCGAGGCUGAAAAGCGUAGUCGAUGGGAAACGGGUUAAUAUUCCCGUACUGGUGGUAACUGCGAUGGGGGAACGGAGAAGGCUAGGUUGUCCGGGCGACGGUCGUCCCGGUUCAAGCAGGUAGGCAGAGUGAUUAGGCAAAUCCGGUCACUUAAUGCUGAGAUGUGAUGACGAACCACCAAGGUGGUGAAGCAAUUGAUGCCCCGCUUCCAGGAAAAGCCUCUAAGCUUCAGGUUACCAACAAUCGUACCCCAAACCGACACAGGUGGUCAGGUAGAGAAUACUCAGGCGCUUGAGAGAACUCGGGUGAAGGAACUAGGCAAAAUGGUGCCGUAACUUCGGGAGAAGGCACGCUGGCGGUAGGUAAAGUCCCUCGCGGACGGCGCUGAAGCCAGUCGAAGAUACCAGCUGGCUGCAACUGUUUAUUAAAAACACAGCACUGUGCAAACACGAAAGUGGACGUAUACGGUGUGACGCCUGCCCGGUGCUGGAAGGUUAAUUGAUGGGGUUAGCGCAAGCGAAGCUCCUGAUCGAAGCCCCAGUAAACGGCGGCCGUAACUAUAACGGUCCUAAGGUAGCGAAAUUCCUUGUCGGGUAAGUUCCGACCUGCACGAAUGGCGUAAUGAUGGCCAGGCUGUCUCCACCCGAGACUCAGUGAAAUUGAACUCGCUGUGAAGAUGCAGUGUACCCGCGGCAAGACGGAAAGACCCCGUGAACCUUUACUAUAGCUUGACACUGAACAUUGAGCCUUGAUGUGUAGGAUAGGUGGGAGGCUUUGAAGUGUGGACGCCAGUCUGCAUGGAGCCAACCUUGAAAUACCACCCUUUAACGUUUGAUGUUCUAACCUAGGCCCAUAAACUGGGUCGGGGACCGUGUCUGGUGGGUAGUUUGACUGGGGCGGUCUCCUCCUAAAGAGUAACGGAGGAGCACGAAGGUUGGCUAAGCAUGGUCGGACAUCAUGCGGUUAGUGCAAAGGCAUAAGCCAGCUUGACUGCGAGAGUGACGGCUCGAGCAGGUACGAAAGUAGGUCUUAGUGAUCCGGUGGUUCUGAAUGGAAGGGCCAUCGCUCAACGGAUAAAAGGUACUCCGGGGAUAACAGGCUGAUACCGCCCAAGAGUUCAUAUCGACGGCGGUGUUUGGCACCUCGAUGUCGGCUCAUCACAUCCUGGGGCUGAAGUAGGUCCCAAGGGUAUGGCUGUUCGCCAUUUAAAGUGGUACGCGAGCUGGGUUUAGAACGUCGUGAGACAGUUCGGUCCCUAUCUGCCGUGGGCGUUGGAAGAUUGAGAGGGGUUGCUCCUAGUACGAGAGGACCGGAGUGAACGCACCACUGGUGUUCGGGUUGUCAUGCCAAUGGCAUUGCCCGGUAGCUAAGUGCGGAAGAGAUAACCGCUGAAAGCAUCUAAGCGGGAAACUUGCCUCGAGAUGAGUCUUCCCUGUCGCUUUAAGCGACCUAAAGGAACGUUUAAGACUAAGACGUUGAUAGGCUGGGUGUGUAAGCGUAGCGAUACGUUGAGCUAACCAGUACUAAUGAACCGUGAGGCUUAACCUGACAACACCGAAGGUGUUU
This 2928-nucleotide ribosomal RNA is filed under the name Proteus mirabilis. RNAcentral's name for it is "bacterial LSU rRNA". It matches the Rfam family "Bacterial large subunit ribosomal RNA". Lineage: Bacteria; Pseudomonadati; Pseudomonadota; Gammaproteobacteria; Enterobacterales; Morganellaceae. The record is from RNAcentral.